Molecule: ribosomal RNA, 115 nt
Filed under: Danio rerio (zebrafish)
Lineage: Eukaryota; Metazoa; Chordata; Actinopteri; Cypriniformes; Danionidae
Source: RNAcentral
GCCGGCAGCUAGCUCUCUGCAACUCUCACAUGGUCGCCCACUAAAGCUAAGCAGGGCUGCGCCCGGUCAACACCUGGAUGGGAGACCACAUGGGAAAGCUAGGUUGCAGCCGGAA